RNAcentral lists this long non-coding RNA (1454 nucleotides) under Salvia miltiorrhiza (redroot sage). RNAcentral describes it as "long non-coding RNA (SMIL_LNC004635)". The record is from RNAcentral. Lineage: Eukaryota; Viridiplantae; Streptophyta; Magnoliopsida; Lamiales; Lamiaceae.
UCUCUCUCUCUCUCUCUCUCUUCCUUCGAGCUCAGAUCGUCGGUGAAGCGCCGCUGCCCCGGCCUCGUCGCCUCCGCCAUCUCCUGCUUCACCCCUCGCCGCGACUUUAGCCUCCGCCCGCCACCAAUUCCUUCAAAGCAGAAGAGGAUGAGUGCGGUGGCGCUUCGAGUUCCGUGAGGUUUUCCCCCUUUGCCGCCAGCGAUUCGGCGUCCUUGUUGCCGAUUUUCAAUUUUCCGGUCAUCUUCUACGCAGAUCUAGGGUUGAGCUUGAAGUGGAGGCACGACGGUGGCACAAUUCAGAGGUGAGAAAUUUCUGGCGAAGCCUUUCUCUCUCUGGCAGUGGUGGUUCUUCAAUUGGGACUUCCUCUCACAUUGGCUGCUCCUGGUAAUUUCCUUACCCAUUACUUUAUUUUUGCUAUUUCUGGGUCUGCGUGUGUGUAUAGACUAGGAAAAUGAAUACUAGUUUUAUUCUGCUCUGUAAUGCCGGAAUUGAUUUUGUGUAAAUUUGGGUGCAUGGUUGAGUGGUUAAUUGGUGAAAUGGGAAGCUUGGGAUUUUCUGGUUUUGGUUUAACUUAUGCUGGAAUUUGCAUUUCACAUUUUCUUUUUUAGGUUUUGGAUUUGAAGUGGAAAUGACAUUAUCCUCAUUUCACGUUAUUUUGCGGCUUUGGAUUUGAAAUGUAAAUGAUUGGUGCCAUUAUCUGUAAAUUGGUGAGUCACGAGGUUGUUAGCACUGUGAAUUUGGAGGUGAUUGAGAAGAAUCUAUGAGUUGCUCUUGCAUGCUUAGAAUACUGAUUUAGAAUAAACUGAUGAAAGAUUUUUGAUGUCUUAGAAUACCACAUUUACAUAGUAAUAGACAUCAACUUGCAAAAUCUUGGGAAUUGUAAAAAAACAUAGCAAAAACCCGGAUAAUUCAUAAUGCAGCUAGGCAGACUGAUAGUUUUCUCGCAGUUUUCUUCUUUAUGUGUGCCUGAGGUUUUGGAAGAGAGUUGAGAUAGAAGAUGAAUUCAUCAGAGCAUCAUAACUUGUGCUAUGAUUAAUCUGAAACGAGAGCUUAAUUUGUAGAUUGUGAUGAUGUCUUUGUACUUGUGUUUAUGCAGAUUACCCCUUGGACUUAAGCCGGUCUAAUUUCACACUAGCCGCCUCCCUGUGCUCCAAUCCGGCAGAGAGAGGGAGGUGUCGUUCAGGCGGAUGACGCUGCUGGAGGAGGACAACUGGAGGGUCGAGAGCGCCGCCGUGAUGGAGUUUGAGGAUGACCUGCACGGUGUCGAAACACAGAGGAGGCAUAGGAGAAGGAGUUUGUAGCGGGAGCCAUCGCUUCCAGACUGCUAAAUUAAUUGCUCUGAUUUGGUUUUUGUGUGUAAAGUAGUAACUAAAAUGAAUUCAAGAAUUUAUAUAAUUCUGUCCUUGAUCCUUUCUUCUUUGUUUCUGUUACCAAAAGAUUUGCCAUAUUUUACG